AUUGAACGCUGGCGGCAUGCUUUACACAUGCAAGUCGAGCGGCAGCGCGGGGGCAACCCUGGCGGCGAGCGGCGAACGGGUGAGUAAUGCAUCGGAACGUAUCCUCGAGUGGGGGAUAACCCAGCGAAAGUUGGGCUAAUACCGCAUGAGCUCUGAGGAGGAAAGCGGGGGACCUGCGAGGGCCUCGCGCUGGAGGAGCGGCCGAUGUCCGAUUAGCUAGUUGGUGGGGUAAAGGCUUACCAAGGCGACGAUCGGUAGCUGGUCUGAGAGGAUGAUCAGCCAAACUGGGACUGAGACACGGCCCAGACUCCUACGGGAGGCAGCAGUGGGGAAUUUUGGACAAUGGGGGCAACCCUGAUCCAGCCAUGCCGCGUGAGUGAAGAAGGCCUUCGGGUUGUAAAGCUCUUUCGGACGGAACGAAAUGGGCGGGACUAAUACUCCUGUCUGAUGACGGUACCGUAAGAAGAAGCACCGGCUAACUACGUG
This 486-nucleotide ribosomal RNA is filed under the name uncultured bacterium. RNAcentral describes it as "partial 16S ribosomal RNA". It matches the Rfam family "Bacterial small subunit ribosomal RNA", at positions 29 to 507 of the family's 1533-position model. The record is from RNAcentral.